Small nuclear RNA from Anolis carolinensis (green anole), 111 nucleotides. Its record names the gene U2. It matches the Rfam family "U2 spliceosomal RNA". Rfam says of the family: U2 is a small nuclear RNA (snRNA) component of the spliceosome (involved in pre-mRNA splicing). Complementary binding between U2 snRNA (in an area lying towards the 5' end but 3' to hairpin I) and the branchpoint sequence (BPS) of the intron results the bulging out of an unpaired adenosine, on the BPS, which initiates a nucleophilic attack at the intronic 5' splice site, thus starting the first of two transesterification reactions that mediate splicing. The record is from Ensembl. NCBI's taxonomy places the organism in Eukaryota, Metazoa, Chordata, Lepidosauria, Squamata, Anolidae.
UCGGCUUCUCGGCCUUUUGGCUAAGAUCAAGUGUAGUAUCUGUUCUUAUCAGUUUAAUAUCUGAUAUGUCCUCUAUUUGAGGACUAUAUAUUAAAAAAAUGGUUAUUCUUA